Molecule: ribosomal RNA, 434 nt
Filed under: uncultured Lachnospiraceae bacterium
Lineage: Bacteria; Bacillati; Bacillota; Clostridia; Lachnospirales; Lachnospiraceae
Description: partial 16S ribosomal RNA
Rfam family: Bacterial small subunit ribosomal RNA
Source: RNAcentral
ACGGAAGGCAGCAGUGGGGAAUAUUGGACAAUGGGGGAAACCCUGAUCCAGCGACGCCGCGUGAGUGAAGAAGUAUUUCGGUAUGUAAAGCUCUAUCAGCAAGGAAGAAAAUGACGGUACUUGACUAAGAAGCUCCGGCUAAAUACGUGCCAGCAGCCGCGGUAAUACGUAUGGUGCAAGCGUUAUCCGGAUUUACUGGGUGUAAAGGGAGCGUAGGCGGCAUGGCAAGCCAGAUGUGAAAGCCCGGGGCCCAACCCCGGAACGGCAUUUGGAACUGUCAGGCUAGAGUACCGGAGAGGUAAGCGGAAUUCCUAGUGUAGCGGUGAAAUGCGUAGAUAUUAGGAGGAACACCAGUGGCGAAGGCGGCUUACUGGACGAUAACUGACGUUGAGGCUCGAAAGCGUGGGGAGCAAACAGGAUUAGAUACCCUGGUA